Molecule: ribosomal RNA, 525 nt
Filed under: Triticum aestivum (bread wheat)
Lineage: Eukaryota; Viridiplantae; Streptophyta; Magnoliopsida; Poales; Poaceae
Description: partial small subunit ribosomal RNA
Source: RNAcentral
AUGCAGUCGCCCAUCGACCUCUCCGACCGCCAUGCCGCACAGGCGCCGAACCUCGGAUACCUCAACCACUCCUACCUCCCCGCCGAGGCCUCCAUCGUCAACCGUGGCCAUGACAUCGCGGUGACGUUCCAGGGCGGUGCCGGGAGCUUGUGGAUCAACGGCACUGCUUACCACCUCAGGCAGGUGCACUUGCACUCCCCCAGCGAGCACCACCUAAACGGCCGCCAGUACAGCUUGGAGAUCCACAUGGUUCACCUCAGCGCCGAGAACAAGGCUGCCGUGAUCGGCCGCCUCUAUAAGAUUGGUAGGCGCGACCAUUUCCGGCACAAGCUAGAGCCUUACCUGCGGAGGAUGGCAGACAUGAAGGAGAAGGAUGAGAAGGUCGGCGUGGUGGAUCCCUGGGAGGCGAGGGGCGACGACCAAGCCUACUACCGGUACAUGGGCUCCCUCACCACGCCGGCGUGCGACGAGGGGGUCAUCUGGACCGUUAUCAAGAGGUUGCCACCGUGUCAACUCACCAACUGA